Molecule: ribosomal RNA, 492 nt
Filed under: uncultured bacterium
Lineage: Bacteria
Description: partial 16S ribosomal RNA
Rfam family: Bacterial small subunit ribosomal RNA
Source: RNAcentral
AGUGAACGCUGGCGGUAGGCCUAACACAUGCAAGUCGAACGGCAGCACAGUAAGAGCUUGCUCUUACGGGUGGCGAGUGGCGGACGGGUGAGGAAUACAUCGGAAUCUACUUUUUCGUGGGGGAUAACGAAGGGAAACUUACGCUAAUACCGCAUACGACCUACGGGUGAAAGCAGGGGAUCUUCGGACCUUGCGCGAUCGAAUGAGCCGGUGUCGGAUUAGCUAGUUGGGGGGGUAAAGGCCCACCAAGGCGACGAUCCGUAUCUGGUCUGAGAGGAUGAUCAGCCACAUUGGAACGGGGACACGGCCCCGACUCCUACGGGAGGGAGCAGUGGGGAAUUUUGGACAAUGGGCGCAAGUCUGAUCCAGCCAUUCCGCGUGGGUGAAGAAGUCGUUCGGGUUGUAAAACCCUUUUGUUGGGAAAGAAACGCAGCAGGUUAAUACCCCGCUGUUCUGACGGUACCCAAAGAAUAAGCACCGGCUAACUUCGUG